UCUACAGCAGGAUGUUUAUGACAGGACGAGAUAACGGAUGCUCAGCCACAGCAUAAAAAUCAUAAAAAGGUCACAACAUGACACAAUAUAUAUAUGAAACACAGAGAUAAGUUAUGAUGGGGUCCCGUCACCGCCUUUUUCUCACCUGCAGAUUCUCAGUUUGUGUUUGUUGGAAGAGCCAGAAGGAUUAACCAAACUACCAUUUUGUGGACUUUUAUUUUGAAACCAUCACUAUGGAGUGCAGUGGCAGCCAAUGUCGAGUUUGGCUCAUAUUUAUAUUCAUCUUUUGCUGAACGUGGAAAAAUUCUGAUCUCAAUACAGGUGUGUUCAGACAGAGACCGGCAGAUGUGACACAAAAAUACAGAACACCUAUAACUCCUACCCAGUGGACAUUCUAUGUGUGGGAUUUUUUGCAUUUUUGGUUUGUUGUGAUGUUUAUUUAUUUUCUACUUGGACUUUGGCGCAGGAACGCCUAUGAAUGGAUGUACACCACACCUGCAGUGCUACCCUAUGGAUUUCAUGUGUUUUUCAUCAUCAACUUUUGUUUGAACGUGAUGUGGUUGUUUCUGUUGGACAGAGAGUGGCUUCUAUCGCUGCUGAUAACCUCAAUGUUACUGAUGCUCACCACAUACAUGAUGCUUUUUCUCUCAUGUCAAGGACUGAAGGUCUAUGGAGCCUGGCUCAGCAAAUAUCACAACAAAGACCUCUGGCUCUUGAGAAUAAUAGUGCAGAAUGGAGUGGCGGUGUAUGCAACAUGGGCCACACUCUCCAGCCUGCUGAACAUGACGAUAUACUUACAGCACCGAACAGAAACACCCACAUGUGACUGUGCACUGCUGGCUCUGCUGCUGCUUCUGAUGGAAUUGUUAGGCUGGUUUCUACUGGAGAACUUCUACCUCGAUGAACACGUACGUUACAUCCUGACCAUCUACCCUGUGGUGACCCUGUGGCUGACGGGCGUCCUGAGGAACUUUGAAUCCUCUGACACACAAGUGUACACGUUUGCAGCAUUCAUUCUGGCUAUUUCCGUCAUCCUGUUUGUGGUUCGUGUCGUCCUGGUCACAUGGAGGCAUCAAAAAAAGCAGCUUUUCAAACACACUGAACCCAUUUUGUCCCCAGUAGAAAUAUCUUUGACACAAAACAGCCUGUUUCUGUAACCGUAUACAUAGAGUUGAUGUAAGUAAAUGAAGAGCUUUUAUAGAUUUUGGGUUGUUUCUGCAGAAUAGAUUCCAGACACAAAAGCAUUUAAGUACAACUUUGAAGAAAACAAUGUUGUUGUUUUUUUAACUCACCUGUUGUUUGUUCUCAGAAUAAAGACAGAAAUGUUACAGUGCA
Molecule: long non-coding RNA, 1335 nt
Filed under: Gouania willdenowi (blunt-snouted clingfish)
Lineage: Eukaryota; Metazoa; Chordata; Actinopteri; Blenniiformes; Gobiesocidae
Description: lncRNA (ENSGWIG00000023654.1)
Source: RNAcentral